This 23-nucleotide ribosomal RNA is filed under the name Goodenia halophila. Its description in RNAcentral is "partial 25S large subunit ribosomal RNA". The record is from RNAcentral. Lineage: Eukaryota; Viridiplantae; Streptophyta; Magnoliopsida; Asterales; Goodeniaceae.
GCAACCCCAGGCAGGCGGGACUA